CACACGACCGUACCGCAAACCGACACUGGUGCGCGAGAUGAGUAUUCUAAGGCGCUUGAGAGAACUCAGGAGAAGGAACUCGGCAAAUUGACACCGUAACUUCGGAAGAAGGUGUGCCUUUAGUAGGUGAACCAUUUACUUGGGGAGCCCAAUGAGGCUGCAAAAAAUCGGUGGCUGCAACUGUUUAUUAAAAACACAGCACUCUGCUAAGACGAAAGUCGACGUAUAGGGUGUGACGCCUGCCCGGUGCUGGAAGAUUAAAUGAUGGGGUGCAAGCUCUUGAUUGAAGUCCCAGUAAACGGCGGCCGUAACGAUAACGGUCCUAAGGUAGCGAAAUUCCUUGUCGGGUAAGUUCCGACCUGCACGAAUGGCGUAAUGAUGGCCACACUGUCUCCUCCUGAGACUCAGCGAAGUUGAAAUGUUUGUGAUGAUGCAAUCUCCCCGCGGAAAGACGGAAAGACCCCAUGAACCUUUACUGUAGCUUUGUAUUGGACUUUGAACAGAUCUGUGUAGGAUAGGUGGGAGGCUUUGAAGUGUGGUCGCUAGAUCGCAUGGAGCCAACGUUGAAAUACCACCCUGGUGUGUUUGAGGUUCUAACCUAGGUCCAUUAUCUGGAUCGGGGACAGUGCAUGGUAGGCAGUUUGACUGGGGCGGUCUCCUCCCAAAGUAUAACGGAGGAGUUCGAAGGUACGCUAGGUACGGUCGGACAUCGUGCUAAUAGUGCAAUGGCAUAAGCGUGCUUAACUGCGAGACUGACAAGUCGAGCAGAUGCGAAAGCAGGACAUAGUGAUCCGGUGGUUCUGUAUGGAAGGGCCAUCGCUCAACGGAUAAAAGGUACUCUGGGGAUAACAGGCUGAUACCGCCCAAGAGUUCAUAUCGACGGCGGUGUUUGGCACCUCGAUGUCGGCUCAUCUCAUCCUGGGGCUGUAGCCGGUCCCAAGGGUAUGGCUGUUCGCCAUUUAAAGAGGUACGUGGGCUGGGUUUAAAACGUCGUGAGACAGUUUGGUCCCUAUCUUCCGUGGGCGCUGCAGAUUUGAGGAAGCCUGCUCCUAGUACGAGAGGACCGGAGUGGACGAACCUCUGGUGUAUCGGUUGUCACGCCAGUGGCAUUGCCGAGUAGCUAAGUUCGGAAGAGAUAACCGCUGAAAGCAUCUAAGCGGGAAACUCGUUUCAAGAUUAGAUCUGCCGGGGCCUUGAGCCCCCUAAAGAGUCGUUCAAGACCAGGACGUUGAUAGGUCAGGUGUGGAAGC
Molecule: ribosomal RNA, 1250 nt
Filed under: metagenome
Description: bacterial LSU rRNA
Rfam family: Bacterial large subunit ribosomal RNA
Source: RNAcentral